Molecule: long non-coding RNA, 3899 nt
Organism: Patiria miniata (bat star)
Lineage: Eukaryota; Metazoa; Echinodermata; Asteroidea; Valvatida; Asterinidae
Exons: 3
Source: RefSeq, a predicted model, not a curated record
AUUUACACGGUAAGAGUUCUCAUUUGAGCUCAAAUGCGAACAAACUUAGGUGUUUGAGCUUGAGUGCGAACAAAGUUCCAAGGGUACAAGUUGGAGUUUGAGUGCAAAAAUGUACACGAAUGCGACUUUUGAAGGAUUUUUUGGGAAAUGUGUUGGGGCCAUGUGUAGCAGUAAUUUUAUUUCGCCGUUUUGCGUAUUUCAUUUCUAAAUCUGUUUAUUGACUUGCUGACAUUGGUUAUUUUUCCAUUUGUGACAAUGUGUUAAAUAUUUUAGGGCCAUGUGAAUAAAUCAAACUUUAAAAUCUCGUCGUUCUUCAUUGAUACUCAUUGUGAAAAAAAUGUUCUAGGGUCAUGUGUAUACAAAAAUUUCUCAUCGCCGUUUUGUACUUCUGCCAAACCCAUUUUUCCUUUGUGUUUUCUUCUAUUUGUAACAAAUUAAAUGUUACAGAACUCUAGGGCCAUGUGAACAAAUCCUACAAAAUCUUUUGCGAAAAUCUCGGGUCCAUGGAUACACAUUCUUACUUUUUGCAGUUUUCGUAACCAUGUCUACAUGUCUUGCAUUGAGAACCAUACCGUAAACCAAUUUGGGGUCAUGGCGUGCAUCUUCACACUUUUCUUUGUUGUUUUGUAGGAAAUUCCCUGAUCGUGACAUAAUUGUAGACUUUGUAGGAUUGCGAACAAACUUCGUGUUCGAGUGCGGACGAAGAAGUCGCGGAGUACGAAAAAAAUACAGACGAGUUCGUGUUCGGGGCCGAGUGAGAGUAACGGUACGAGUUCGUAUUUAAGUUCGAAUGCGAACAAAGUUCGUGUUUGAGCUCGAGUGCGAACAAAGCUACGGGUUCGAGUACGAAAAAAAAAUACGGACGACUACGAGUUCAUGUUUGGCGCCGAGUGAGAGUGCGAGUUUACACGGUACGAGUUCGCAUUUGAGUUCGAAUGCGAAGAAAGUUCGUGUUUGAGCUCGAGUGCAAACAAAGUUACACGAGAGCGAGUAACAGUUCGAGUACAAAAAUGUACACAAGUACGAGUUUUGAAGUAUUUUAUUGGGAAACAUGUUGGGGCCAUGUGUAGCAGAAAUCCUAUUUCGUCAUUUUGCGUAUUUCAUUUCCAAAUUGUAACAUCUGCACUUGACCUUCUGUUAAAUCUUGCACACCCAAUACCUUCUGCUUGUCAGUUAUUGACUUGUUGACAUUGGUUAACUUUCCGGUUGUGACAAUGUGUUAAAUAUUCUAGGGCCAUGUACAAAUCAAACUUAGAAAUUGCCGUCAUAUUUUACAUUUUCGCGUCGUUCUUCAUUGAUACAAAUUGUGAACAAAAAUUUUCUAGGGUCACUUGUAUAAACAACAUGUCUCAUCGCCGUUUUGUAAAAGAUUCUGCCAAGCCCAUUUUCCCCUUGUGUUUUCUUCUGUUAUGUAAUAGAUUAUGUUUCAGAAUUCUAGGGCCAUGUUAACAAAUCUUACUUUGCCUUGAAAACAAUUUGUUCCUUCAUUUUGUCCCUUCAUCCCGUCUUGAGUGAGCAUCAUUGUGUAAAAUACUCACGAGCAAUGUGAUGAGUCUUCAUAUCUAUUUUAAGGCUCAGCAAAUCUUAAAUGCUGAAGGUUUUUGCAUACUCAUUGAAUAUGGAAUUCAACUGCUAUAACUUCAUUGUGAUUCAUUGAAUGAAUAACUCUAUAGGGACAUGUUAACAAAUCUACCUUAUUUGGUUGUUUAGCAGCAAUUUCCUCAGCUGCAACGCCAUGCCCAUCCCUCUUUAGCGUCGAGAUUGAAAAGGGCUGUGGCCAUGUGUGUAGAUCUUACCGAUUAUUUGAAACAUGUAAUAGUCGUGAAACAUGUAAUCACAGUAGUAAUGGUGUACAAUUAUUCCACGACAUGAAAUAGUCUGUGAUCCUUGUUGAAAUAUAAUAAGUCCGAUCUGCAAAGAUCGGUAAUGCCUAUUGUGUUAGGGCCAUGGUGACAAUGCUGCUAAUAAUCAGGUGAUGACACCUGUUUCGUCGGAUAAUCCCAUAAUGGCUUUGGAAAAGUAUCUGAGUCACAGAUUUAAACAAGUGGAGGUUUGAUCGACGUUGCCUUUUUAAUAUCGAUAAGUCCGAUCAGCGCAGAUCGGCAAUGUGAAUAUUGUUUCCAUUUGAACAGGUGCGCGUUGCUUUCGGCAAACUGGAAGUUAAGCUUUAAACUGUCCAUGCAAGGAGACUUCCCGACCAGUGGGCCAACUGAUUUAGAAUAGCGCUAAACUAAGUUGUCCCUUUCUCUAUGGUUGUACUCAUUACGGUGGUCAGGUAAGGGCCACUGAUUGCAUUACCUUCAUUGUAAGUAUGAGACUGCGCAGUCAGUUAGGCCUAGUAAUAGGUAGGGUUGACCUACAAACUAAGUUUUCCUUUUCUAUGGUUGCAUAAUCUUUCAUUCAUUGGUCAUGUAAGGACCACAUGUUCUCUUGUUCCACUACAAUAUGGCGGUAGGUUGACCAAGAAAUCGCUGUACCUUUGCCUUUUUUUUAUGUAUCUUUCAUUCAUUGGUCAGGUUAGGACCACAUUUCCCCUCGUUUCACCACAAUAAUGGUCACUAAUUAUUUUGACCAUUAAAUCACUGCAUAUAACUUCACCUAGCUCCGCUAGGUAUGUUUGUUUUCUCUUUUUGUAAGUCCAUUUUUAGCCACUUGCAGUUAGGUUAUGAGGACAUGCAAGCCCGAGUGUUCCUGUCGGAUGCUAAGGAACCGGAAGCAGGGAGGAGGAACAUCGGAUGACUGAGGACCCUGCUUGCUGGGCAUCCCAUUACUGCUUCCAUGGAUAUGAGGGUCUACAAGAUGAGAUGUCUUUCUGGACGGAGUUACGGUCGAUUCCGAAUCCCAAGGAACCGGAACCGGAAGCAGGGAGGAGGACCAACGGAAGGACUGACUGACCCUGCUUGCAGAGCAUGUCUUCACAAUUCCUUGAGAUUCCACUUGCUUCGUGUCGGCAGCAAAAAUGUACUUGUAUCAGCGAACUGCCAUCUUGCACCGCCAUAAAUUAUGUUACUGUAGGCACUGUUAAUUAUUUUUUUUGUAUAAUUUGUAGUUAAAGCUUUACUCUAAUUGUAUGUUUCCAUGCCUGUACAGCGCAUUGGGUCAUUAUUGACUGAAUGCACUUUUACAAGAGUGGUUUAUUAUCAUUAUUAUUUAUGUAUGAAUCCACAGUAACGUUAAGCUCAUUAAGUGUUAAUGAAAUCGGAACUGAGUCUUGAAUACAGUGCUGGCCAGUUUUUACAAUUAGUGCUUAAGAAGCAAUCUUAUACAUUAAAUGCCAACAAAAACGAAAUGUAUGUUUAUUGGUUUAAGGCAGAAAAUCUGCUCAUAGUCUCAUUUUAAAGUGAAUUAUUGUAAAAGUGAAUUAUUGUAAACAUUAAUAUGGGGCCCACUCGUUGAGUAGGCCUGUGUAAAGAAAACAGGUUCUUCGUUAAAUGUGCCUCUCUCGCCCCUUUAGCAGAUAUGUUUGCCAAACUAAACUGGGUUCCAGACCAUUUCCUGCAAGGGUUAAGUCUAAAAAGGCUAUUCUCGAUUCCAAAAUUCUGAAUAAAAUGAUUCCUUAUUAUGACGAAUCUUUUUACACCGCUACGUAUAGAUUCGUGAAACAAAACAAUAAAGUAACAUGGCACUGAAAGCUUCGCAGUGAGUGGUCAAAUUAUAUGGAAUAAAUUAAAUGAACAAUUGAUAGCCAUGGAUUUCCUAGGUACAUUCAGCUAAGAACUGUACGUAAAGCCAUCAGCCAGUGCAUAUUUCUGCCACUAACCACUAGUUCAAUUUGAGCUGAUCUACAAAGUUAUAAAACUUGGUUGCCAUGGAAAUUUGGAGCCGUAUCGGGAAUUUCCCCGUGUUUUUUUUUCCUAAACCGGUUUUCGCGGGGUUUUCGCCCAUCCCGUAAUCAGCUA